UACGAAGGGGGCUAGCGUUGCUCGGAAUCACUAGGCGUAAAGCGCACGUAGGCGGAUUGCUAAGUCAGGGGUGAAAUCCUGGAGCUCAACUCCAGAACUGCCUUUGAUACUGGCGACCUUGAGUCCGGGAGAGGUGAGUGGAACUGCGAGUGUAGAGGUGAAAUUCGUAGAUAUUCGCAAGAACACCAGUGGCGAAGGCGGCUCACUGGCCCGGUACUGACGCUGAGGUGCGAAAGCGUGGGGAGCAAACAGG
This 253-nucleotide ribosomal RNA is filed under the name uncultured bacterium. Its description in RNAcentral is "partial 16S ribosomal RNA". It matches the Rfam family "Bacterial small subunit ribosomal RNA", at positions 524 to 776 of the family's 1533-position model. The record is from RNAcentral.